This is a long non-coding RNA of Psammomys obesus (fat sand rat), 1239 nucleotides long. RefSeq lists it as uncharacterized. The transcript is spliced from 2 exons. The record is from RefSeq and is a predicted model, not a curated record. Lineage: Eukaryota; Metazoa; Chordata; Mammalia; Rodentia; Muridae.
GCCCGGGGACGAGAGGGGCCGUGACCGCCUGGCCUGGGAGGAAAGAGCUGGAUCUUGCUGCGGGCGACAGCAGGUGCUGCGCUCCGACCCCACCUGCUGUCCCCGCACUGUGCCUCGGCCGGCUGGGGUUCCUGGGGAUGGGAUUUGAUGCCAGUCACAAAUCACAUUGCCAGGGAUUUCCAACUGACCCUGUGCUCUGCCUUGGGGGCUCCUGUUGCCAAGGGAUGCCUGUCCUGGGUACUGGGUGACAGAGAAGCCCAUCGUGACAACUGGCCUGAGGAGCAGGGCUUAGCUGCUUGUGAGCAAGGUCCACAGCAAGUCGUGUUCACAGUGGCUAAGUUCCGCCCCCUGGACCCCAUCUCUCAGGCCGCUGCUGCCCACCCUGCUCUGCUUCCUGGCCAGCAUGGCUGUGCCUCUCCCUGGGCUCCGCCUCCUGUGCCUACUGAGCUGAAACAGUUGAUUCCAGUGCACUGGCUCAGUUCAGCAGGAACAGGAGUCCAGCCCCCUAGGAGCUGGCACCCCUGCACAAUGGCUGCCAUGACCGGAGACCUGGAUGGAGUGGGGGUCGGAAGCAAUGCGUGACCAGUCCUGCCUAGGUCCAGCUAUCUGCUGUUGGCCCUUCCUCUAAGCCCACAUCCAGGAAUCCCACCCCACGUGGCCACACCUUGAGAUUUUUGUGGUUCCCAAAAAGAACAGAUAAUGAGUGGGCGAUCCUUGCAUUAAAAGGCAUAGCAGUUGUGUCCCCGCAGGGCCUGGAGGCCCUUCCUCUCCUCAGCCUGGUGGGGCCCAGGCACCACCCCUUACAGACACCUUCCUUGUAGUCAGUUACCCAAGAGGAAGCUGUUUUAGGCCUUCUGACCGUUAAAUGCCAACUCCCGGCUUCCGCAGCAAUCCAGGGUGCCUAACACUCCCAUGGGGCCCACAGCUUUCUCCUGGUAACAGUGGGGCAGACAGCAAGCUCUACACAGGUCCUCAAAGGAUAAGAACAGAUCCCAGCCCCCUCCCCGCGUUGUGCCUUUCGGAGUAGUCUCCAAGAGUUAAAACGUUGCCUGCUCCCCUCCAAUCAGAGUAGAUGCAGACUAGUUGGCAUGGGGCUAAGUCACACUCCCCAGACCCUCCGUGUCACCUCCCCACCCUGGCAGGGGCAAAUCAAAGCUUGGGGGAGGAACAGUCAGAGCUCGCAUUGAAUGUUGUGCCUGAUUUCCAAUGAAAUAAAAACUGCCGGCUUCAUCCCUUAAA